UACGUAGGGUGCAAGCGUUGUCCGUAAUUAUUGGGCGUAAAGAGCUCGUAGGCGGUUCGUCGCGUCGGCUGUGAAAACCUGAGGCUCAACCUCAGGCCUGCAGUCGAUACGGGCGGACUUGAGUACUGCAGGGGAGACUGGAAUUCCUGGUGUAGCGGUGAAAUGCGCAGAUAUCAGGAGGAACACCGGUGGCGAAGGCGGGUCUCUGGACAUUUCCUGACGCUGAGGCACGAAAGCCAGGGGAGCAAACGGG
RNAcentral lists this ribosomal RNA (253 nucleotides) under uncultured bacterium. RNAcentral's name for it is "partial 16S ribosomal RNA". It matches the Rfam family "Bacterial small subunit ribosomal RNA", at positions 524 to 776 of the family's 1533-position model. The record is from RNAcentral.